Molecule: ribosomal RNA, 468 nt
Filed under: uncultured bacterium
Lineage: Bacteria
Description: partial 16S ribosomal RNA
Rfam family: Bacterial small subunit ribosomal RNA
Source: RNAcentral
GACGAACGCUGGCGGCGUGCUUAACACAUGCAAGUCGAACGGAAAGGCCCUGCUUUUGUGGGGUGCUCGAGUGGCGAACGGGUGAGUAACACGUGAGUAACCUGCCCUUGACUUUGGGAUAACUUCAGGAAACUGGGGCUAAUACCGGAUAGGAGCUCCUGCUGCAUGGUGGGGGUUGGAAAGUUUCGGCGGUUGGGGAUGGACUCGCGGCUUAUCAGCUUGUUGGUGGGGUAGUGGCUUACCAAGGCUUUGACGGGUAGCCGGCCUGAGAGGGUGACCGGCCACAUUGGGACUGAGACACGGACCAGACUCCUACGGGAGGCAGCAGUGGGGAAUAUUGCACAAUGGGCGGAAGCCUGAUGCAGCAACGCCGCGUGCGGGAUGACGGCCUUCGGGUUGUAAACCGCUUUCGCCUGUGACGAAGCGUGAGUGACGGUAAUGGGUAAAGAAGCACCGGCUAACUACGUG